UUCGCAAUGCCCGAAAGGGUGACGAUGCGACGCCGCGUGAGCGAAGAAGGCCCUAGGGUUGUAAAGCUCUGUAGAGGGUUAUGAAAUAUAGAUGGGUUAAUACCCCAUUUAUUUGACAAAAGCCCAAAAGGAAGCCACGGCUAACUCUGUGCCAGCAGCCGCGGUAAUACAGAGGUGGCGAGCGUUGUUCGGUAUUAUUGGGCGUAAAGAGCACGUAGGUGGUUUUGUAAGUCAGGUGUGAAAGCCUUCUGUUCAAAGGAAGAACGGCAUCUGAAACUGCAGAUCUUGAGUGUAGGAGGGGAGAGUGGAACUUCUGGUGGAGCGGUGAAAUGCGUAGAUAUCAGAAGGAACGUCGGCGGCGAAAGCGACUCUCUGGCCUAUUACUGACACUGAGGUGCGAAAGUUAGGGGAGCAAACGGGAUUAGAUACCCCGGUAGUCCUAACCGUAAACGAUGGGCACUAAGUAGAGGGGUUUU
RNAcentral lists this ribosomal RNA (476 nucleotides) under uncultured anaerobic ammonium-oxidizing bacterium. RNAcentral's name for it is "bacterial SSU rRNA". It matches the Rfam family "Bacterial small subunit ribosomal RNA", at positions 365 to 832 of the family's 1533-position model. The record is from RNAcentral.